Molecule: ribosomal RNA, 687 nt
Filed under: Erimerus wickhami
Lineage: Eukaryota; Metazoa; Arthropoda; Insecta; Hymenoptera; Torymidae
Description: eukaryotic LSU rRNA
Rfam family: Eukaryotic large subunit ribosomal RNA
Source: RNAcentral
GCGUGCACUUCUCCCCUAGUAGGACGUCGCGACCCGUUGGGUGUCGGCCUACGGCCCGGUUGGUCGACUGUCGGGCGAGCGUUCGCGCGUUUCGCCUCGGCAGACCAUCGGUAGCCCGGCCGGCUGCUCGGCGGUAUAGAACGCAUAACAAUGGUAUAGAGCCGCACACUCGUGUGCGUCCCGGCUCGUCGGCAGGCUCGCCUCGCUCGGAUUUACGGACCUAGCGCCGUUGCCGGGUGCUUGGCGCGGCCGUUAGUCGACGAUGUCCUCGGACCGGCUCCACAAUCUUAAAAAUACCAGUCGGCGACGCUACUGCUUUGGGUACUUUCAGGACCCGUCUUGAAACACGGACCAAGGAGUCUAACAUGUGCGCGAGUCAUUGGGAUUUUUUUAAACCUAAAGGCGCAAUGAAAGUGAAGGUCGUACCUUAGCGUCGACCGAGGGAGGAUGGCUCGUGUCACGAUGCGAGCCCGCACUCCCGGGGCGUCUCGUGCUCAUUGCGAGCAGAGGCGCACCCAGAGCGUACACGUUGGGACCCGAAAGAUGGUGAACUAUGCCUGGUCAGGACGAAGUCAGGGGAAACCCUGAUGGAGGUCCGUAGCGAUUCUGACGUGCAAAUCGAUCGUCGGAACUGGGUAUAGGGGCGAAAGACUAAUCGAACCAUCUAGUAGCUGGUUCCCUCCGAAG